UCCCCGUUGGCCGGGGCAGUCUCGCCUGAAAAAUACAACAGACGACAAGGGUUGCGCUCGUUGCGGGACUUAACCCAACAUCUCACGACACGAGCUGACGACGGCCAUGCAGCACCUGUCACUGGGUUCCCGAAGGCACGGCACUGUUUCCAGCGCCUUCCCAGGAUGUCAAACCUCGGUAAGGUUCUUCGCGUAUCUUCGAAUUAAACCACAUGCUCCACUGCUUGUGCGGAACCCCGUCAAUUCCUUUGAGUUUUAGUCUUGCGACCGUACUCCCCAGGCGGGAUGCUUAACGCGUUAGCUUCCCCGCGCAAAGGGUCGAUACUUCACACGGGUAGCAUCCAUCGUUUACGGCGUGGACUAC
Molecule: unclassified non-coding RNA, 364 nt
Filed under: uncultured bacterium
Lineage: Bacteria
Description: contains 16S-23S intergenic spacer region
Source: RNAcentral